RNAcentral lists this ribosomal RNA (738 nucleotides) under Klebsiella sp. HGH0265. RNAcentral's name for it is "bacterial SSU rRNA". It matches the Rfam family "Bacterial small subunit ribosomal RNA", at positions 70 to 805 of the family's 1533-position model. The record is from RNAcentral. Lineage: Bacteria; Pseudomonadati; Pseudomonadota; Gammaproteobacteria; Enterobacterales; Enterobacteriaceae.
ACACAAGAGCUUGCUCUCGGGUGACGAGCGGCGGACGGGUGAGUAAUGUCUGGGAAACUGCCUGAUGGAGGGGGAUAACUACUGGAAACGGUAGCUAAUACCGCAUAAUGUCGCAAGACCAAAGUGGGGGACCUUCGGGCCUCAUGCCAUCAGAUGUGCCCAGAUGGGAUUAGCUAGUAGGUGGGGUAACGGCUCACCUAGGCGACGAUCCCUAGCUGGUCUGAGAGGAUGACCAGCCACACUGGAACUGAGACACGGUCCAGACUCCUACGGGAGGCAGCAGUGGGGAAUAUUGCACAAUGGGCGCAAGCCUGAUGCAGCCAUGCCGCGUGUGUGAAGAAGGCCUUCGGGUUGUAAAGCACUUUCAGCGGGGAGGAAGGCGAUAAGGUUAAUAACCUUGUCGAUUGACGUUACCCGCAGAAGAAGCACCGGCUAACUCCGUGCCAGCAGCCGCGGUAAUACGGAGGGUGCAAGCGUUAAUCGGAAUUACUGGGCGUAAAGCGCACGCAGGCGGUCUGUCAAGUCGGAUGUGAAAUCCCCGGGCUCAACCUGGGAACUGCAUUCGAAACUGGCAGGCUAGAGUCUUGUAGAGGGGGGUAGAAUUCCAGGUGUAGCGGUGAAAUGCGUAGAGAUCUGGAGGAAUACCGGUGGCGAAGGCGGCCCCCUGGACAAAGACUGACGCUCAGGUGCGAAAGCGUGGGGAGCAACAGGAUAGAUACCCUGGUAGUCACGCCGUAA